GUUUAAUUCGAUGAUACGCGAGGAACCUUACCUAGGCUAGAAUGUGAGUGACCGUUCCUGAAAGGGGACUUUCCUUCGGGACACGAAACAAGGUGCUGCAUGGUUGUCGUCAGCUCGUGCCGUGAGGUGUUGGGUUAAGUCCCGCAACGAGCGCAACCCUUAUCGUUAGUUACCAGCACGUAGAGGUGGGGACUCUAGCGAGACUGCCGGCGUAAGCCGCGAGGAAGGUGGGGAUGACGUCAAAUCAUCAUGGCCUUUAUGCCUAGGGCGACACACGUGCUACAAUGGCCGGAACAGCGGGUAGCGAAACUGUGAAGUGGAGCCAAUC
Molecule: ribosomal RNA, 328 nt
Filed under: uncultured Bacteroidota bacterium
Lineage: Bacteria; Pseudomonadati; Bacteroidota
Description: bacterial SSU rRNA
Rfam family: Bacterial small subunit ribosomal RNA
Source: RNAcentral